This is a long non-coding RNA of Bufo bufo (common toad), 342 nucleotides long. RefSeq lists it as uncharacterized. Lineage: Eukaryota; Metazoa; Chordata; Amphibia; Anura; Bufonidae. The record is from RefSeq and is a predicted model, not a curated record. The transcript is spliced from 3 exons.
UCUUCUUCCUCAGGAUGGUUCAGAAGAACAUCACAAUGUCCCACAGGAUGAUCAGGUUCCUAAAAUACAGGAUCCGCUCAGUGGAGAUCUUCUAUAUAAGAUCCUUCUCCUGAUUGACCCGUCAAGGAUGGAUUGGGACAAGAUGGCAGAGAGUAUAAUAAAUCUCACCCUAGAGAUCAUCUUCCGGCUUACUGGAGAGGACUACACAGUAGUGAAGAAGAUCUCUAGUGAGCACUGUCAGACCCCCGUGUCUGAAGGAUGGGGAAGAACCCUGAGCCCAAUCACAGAGCCUCCACCUCACCCCCUGAUACAUGAGGAGAUCAAUAGAGAGAAGAUCCUAGA